RNAcentral lists this ribosomal RNA (460 nucleotides) under uncultured bacterium. RNAcentral describes it as "partial 16S ribosomal RNA". It matches the Rfam family "Bacterial small subunit ribosomal RNA", at positions 338 to 795 of the family's 1533-position model. The record is from RNAcentral.
CCUACGGGUGGCAGCAGUGAGGAAUAUUGGUCAAUGGACGAAAGUCUGAACCAGCCAUGCCGCGUGCAGGAUGACGGCUCUAUGAGUUGUAAACUUCUUUUAUAUGGGAAUAAAAUGUUCCACGUGUGGGAUUUUGUAUGUACCAUAUGAAUAAGGAUCGGCUAACUCCGUGCCCGCAGGCGCGGUAAUACGGAGGAUCCGAGCGUUAUCCGGAUUUAUUGGGGUUAAAGGGAGCGUAGGUGGAUUGUUAAGUCAGUUGUGAAAGUUUGCGGCUCAACCGUAAAAUUGCAGUUGAAACUGGCAGUCUUGAGUACAGUAGAGGUGGGCGGAAUUCGUGGUGUAGCGGUGAAAUGCUUAGAUAUCACGAAGAACUCCGAUUGCGAAGGCAGCUCACUGGACUGCAACUGACACUGAGGCUCGAAAGUGUGGGUAUCAAACAGGAUUAGAUACCCGUGUAGUC